Molecule: microRNA precursor, 146 nt
Filed under: Gossypium hirsutum (cotton)
Lineage: Eukaryota; Viridiplantae; Streptophyta; Magnoliopsida; Malvales; Malvaceae
Description: MIR7502 microRNA precursor family
Rfam family: MIR7502 microRNA precursor family
Source: Rfam by way of RNAcentral
UAUUAAAAAUUUCGUUCAUUUCUACUAUUAAAAUAUGGUGUAGCUGAUAGAAUAAACCAAAUAGAUAUAUGUGACGUGCGACAUGUACCUCAUUAUGAUGUACAAUGACCAGUUGUUAACAAUAAAAAUGGAUGGACUUUUUAGCA